UAUGUUAUUAUAUCUUGUCUUAUAAUGGGGUCUUAAUGUAAGUAUGGGGUUUCUAAGUACUGUUUAAGUGUUUAACAGAACCGAGUAAUCUCCGGUGAGGACGUUGGUCAGCCUGAAAGAAUAGGUCGUUAAGCUUAGGAGAAGCGCGUUAGACCUUGUUUGGUGGUCCCGUCACUGAGUAAAACACUUAGCUGUCUUUAGAGUAAUGCCAUUAAGACUUAUUAAUAUCCCAUAAGCCAUAGAUGUAUCAACAUAAUUGCAUUUAGUUAUUGCAUAUUGGAUUAGAGUAAUAUGUCUCUUUUGAAAUAGAUCAGCUCUGUUAGUCUCUAGACAGUUUUGUUUAAACCAUGAACAAUCAUGUCCAAAAUACUGUUAACCUUUCUUCCUCGGCAACUCCGAUUGCCACCAUUGAAACCGAUCUUCAAAACUGGAGUAUUCCAGAAGAAUCCUUCUCUACUAUUUAUCAAAUAGGAAAAUUUAGUUUUUUGAAAAAACAUAACAUCAAGACCUCUGAGUCUACUGUAGCUAUUAACAAUUCUUUAGAAAUUAUCCAAUUGUUCAAUGAACUAGAUAUAAACAGGUAUAAAAACCAGUUUAAUUAUCUGCAUGUUGGACUGGUUCAAGUUGCUAUUAAGCCACUAUUCCGACAAGGAUUAGACAUCCCUGUCUGUGCUCUUCUAAGAGAUGCUCGUCUUCUCAACUUUGACGAUUCUCUCUUAGGAGUUAUCCAGAGUAACCUAGCCGACGGCCCGGUAUACUUUAACUGCUACCCCAACUUCUCGGUAGAUAUAAACGAUCCUAACAUCAUGGACGUCUUGACGCUUAAUGUCAAAACGAAAAACAUGAAUAGUAAGGAUAAUACCCGAGAAAUAGCGAUCAUAUACCGAGUAUACUAUCGCCUCAUGGGUACUACCCUAGCUCCAAAAGCUAGAUUCACGAGCCCAAAAGGGGUUACCACCCUCAUGGAAGCUAACAAAGACCGUAGCACAGUCUUUGUUCCCAAGGCUCUAGUAUGGGAUGAGAUCCUUCACAGUAAUGACUGGCACUUUGAAGCCGUCACCCAACCUGUUCGACGUUACUCAGAACGAUCUCAGAUCGAACGAGUAAUUCAACAUCCAGAUGGAUCUAUAGAUCUGAAAUUUUUAGGAGUCGAUCCCUCUCGACUCUCAUCUUCACGGCGGUCCGUCUCCUGUGCCUCUUCCUCUAAAAAGGAACAAGAGUCCGACGAACACGACGGCCCCGACGACAAGGGAAAGAUUAGAGGAGUUGAUUACUCUGGUCCGAUCCUGAAAGUCUAUUAUCAAACAACUAAGGUCAAGGAACCUAAAAAUCUCUACGAACCAGGAAGCCCUUCGGCUUCAGAAAUGGCUCCUCCACAACCUAGGCGCGACCCUAGCCUUUUCGUUAUUCGAGCAGAUAACGAAGACUAUGUCCCGGAUCUUCAGGCCUUAAAGGUCCGAUGGAAUAAUCCGAGAGACACCCUCAAAAGGAGAUGGUACAUAAAUACCUAUUCUCCCGAACAGCAAAAGGAGUUUGGUCGACUAUGGAUAGCCGACAUGAAACGACUCCGUUGCGAUAUGGAAUUCUUCUUCUGGCUAGAAAAAACUGGAAGAAUAGAAAACCAAACAGAAUCGCUCAACGCUAUCGUUACCAAAUGGUACACCCAGCGGAAUACCGUAAUUGAAUCUACUACUCCUCCUCUGGAAGGACUUAACAUCCCUUACGCUAACGAAGUCAUCAAGGCUUCUCCAUUCAAAACUAAAUACGAAAGAGGUACCAUGACACCUCAAUGCAAGGAUCUUGAUAGAAUAAUUGAACAAAACAAUUAUACAAAUCAAGCUCUUCAUACCAUAUCCCAGCAAAUAGAGGACGUCAAGAGUCCUCCUCUUUCCGCCCCGUUACCACCUAAGAGCACUCCACGCCCUAAACCUCUUUCAAACCCUAUCUUCAAACUCCCGGAGUUUCACAAAGAUAAAUUCCCAGAUCUGAAUGAUGAUUUUAAAUUGUCUGAACAAAUCUUAGAAAAAAUCAAUACCAAGCUUACCAAGUUCAAAAUCUCGCAAGAGCCCUCUAGCUCUAAGGAUUCCUCCGGUUCUAAGGAAAAGAACUCUCUCUCGAAACUUUCUAGUGAUCGAUUUUCCACGAGAAAAAAUUUCUAUCGCAAACCUUCUCCCCCGGACGUCCAGUUCGAAGAAAAUCCUUACCUAUCCACAUGUAAUCAUGAUGGACGAGGUAUCACAGAAUGGAAUAUUGACGGUCUGGCUGAGCAUCAGAUCUACAAUAAGCUCCAUGAAAUUGAUGUGGCCAUCACGGCCUAUAAAAUCAAAGGUUCCUCUGACAAAGGAGCCGCCACCAUGGUAGUCUCGGGUUUCACCAGUAUGCUCAAACAUUGGUGGGACAACUACGUCUCCGAAGACGAAAAAAGUCUCAUUUAUAACGCCACCACCCUAGAACCAGUGGCUAGAACUGUCAAUGGUCAAGAAACUAUAGUUCAAGAAGCACAAGAAGACGCCUGUGCAACGCUUCUCUAUCACAUAGCUAGACACUUUGUAGGAGAACCAAAACUCUUUCAAGAUAGAAGUCUAGAAAUCCUCAACAAUCUUCGGUGCAAAAACCUUGCUGACUUUAGAUGGUAUAAAGAUACCUUCCUUAUUAAAGUCAUGAUUCGCCCUGACUGCAAUAAUGAUUUCUGGAAAGAAAGAUUUAUUAGCGGUCUUCCACCAUUAUUCGCGGACAAAGUCCGGACAAAACUCAAGGACCGGUUUGAGGGCCAAAUCCCUUAUAAUAUUCUUACCUACGGUGAUUUAGUAAGCUUCAUCACUACCACCGGUAUCGAACUCUGUACAGACCUCAAGCUGAAACAACAGCUUAAGCAAAACCAUAAAUAUGGAUUGACAACCUUUUGCCAGGAUUAUGGCUUUACCGACUUAGAUGAAGGCAGGAGGCAUAAAAUAAUCCCUCCAAAGCGUCAUAAAAAGUCCUACCCAAAACGAAAAACUUCGUAUAAGGAGUCAAGCUCCUAUAAAGAAUCCAGCAAACCACAUCGUAAAACCAGACGCAAGUAUUCCUCAAAAUCCAAAGAUACCUGCUGGACUUGUGGAAAAUCUGGCCAUAGAGCUAAAGAUUGCACAUCAAGUAAAAGGAAGAAGAUAAAUCUUCUCGACUUACCUGAUGAAGCAAAAGAAAAGCUCUUCUCCAUAAUGGAAGACCCUUCUGAAGCAUCAGACUCUUACUCCUCUUCAGAAGAAGACUAUAGCGACGAAGAUUAUAUCAACGCCGCUUAUGAGUCCGAUAACUCCCAAUCGGGACAAGACUGCGAGUGCAAUGGCACUUUCUGUGUUUGCUCCCGUAAAACCAUCAAUGUCAUUACAGACAAGCCUAAAGAAAUCCUGUUCGAUAUCAUUGAACAUAUCGAUGACGACGAGCUUCGGAGUAAGUACCUCCAAGAGCUCAAACGUUUGGUGCUUUCUUCUGAGGAAGGCACUUCUAAACCAAAACCUAUUGUUCAGCCUUUCUCCAUGACAAGAGUAAUGGCUAAGUUCAAUCCUCCCUCUGAGCCCUCUAUUGCCGAGCUCAAAGGAGAAAUCUCCUCGUUAAAAGGAGAAAUCAAAAACCUGAAAACCCGACUUGAUCAGGUUGAACUACACGUUUAAACACACGAUCCUCUCUAUCUGGUAUCAGAGCCAUGUUGGCAGAUUGUUUGUUUAGCAUGAGCAGCUAAACAAAUAAUCUGUCUAGAGCAUGAGCUAAAUUAUUUUAAAUGAACAUAUUAUUUUAAUCGGUAUGCUUUACCUACAUGUUUAAUUAUGUUAUUAUAUCUUGUCUUAUAAUGGGGUCUUAAUGUAAGUAUGGGGUUUCUAAGUACUGUUUAAGUGUUUAACAGAACCGAGUAAUCUCCGGUGAGGACGUUGGUCAGCCUGAAAGAAUAGGUCGUUAAGCUUAGGAGAAGCGCGUUAGACCUUGUUUGGUGGUCCCGUCACUGAGUAAAACACUUAGCUGUCUUUAGAGUAAUGCCAUUAAGACUUAUUAAUAUCCCAUAAGCCAUAGAUGUAUCAACAUAAUUGC
Molecule: long non-coding RNA, 4065 nt
Filed under: Capsicum annuum
Lineage: Eukaryota; Viridiplantae; Streptophyta; Magnoliopsida; Solanales; Solanaceae
Description: long non-coding RNA (CANN_LNC015134)
Source: RNAcentral